UACGUAGGUGGCAAGCGUUGUCCGGAUUUACUGGGCGUAAAGAGCGCGCAGGCGGUCGUUCAAGUCGAGUGUGAAAGCCCCCGGCUCAACUGGGGAGGGUCACUCGAUACUGAUCGACUUGAAGGCAGAAGAGGGAAGCGGAAUUCCCGGUGUAGUGGUGAAAUGCGUAGAUAUCGGGAGGAACACCAGUGGCGAAGGCGGCUUUCUGGUCUGUUCUUGACGCUGAGGCGCGAAAGCUAGGGUAGCAAACGGG
This 253-nucleotide ribosomal RNA is filed under the name uncultured bacterium. RNAcentral's name for it is "partial 16S ribosomal RNA". It matches the Rfam family "Bacterial small subunit ribosomal RNA", at positions 524 to 776 of the family's 1533-position model. The record is from RNAcentral.